Molecule: ribosomal RNA, 449 nt
Filed under: uncultured bacterium
Lineage: Bacteria
Description: SSU rRNA
Rfam family: Bacterial small subunit ribosomal RNA
Source: RNAcentral
AGAACGAACGCUGGCGGCAGGCCUCAAACAUGCAAGUCUAGGGGGCGUAGCAAUACGUCACCGGCGGACGGGUGCGUAACACGUGGGAAUGUACUUACUGGUUCGGAACAACUCAGGGAAACUUGAGCUAAUACCGAAUGUGCCCGAAAGGGGAAAGAUUUAUCGCCAGUAAAUCAGCCCGCGUCCGAUUAGCUAGUUGGCGGGGUAAAGGCCCACCAAGGCGACGAUCGGUAGCUGUUCUGAGAGGAAGAUCAGCCACACUGGGACUGAGACACGGCCCCAGACUCCUACGGGAGGCAGCAGUUGGGAAUCUUGGACAAUGGGGGAAACCCUGAUCCAGCCAUGCCGCGUGAGUGAUGAAGGCCUUCGGGUUGUAAAACUCUUUCGACGGGGACGAUAAUGACGGUACCCGUAGAAGAAGCUCCGGCUAACUUCGCGCCAGCAGCCGC